Molecule: ribosomal RNA, 301 nt
Filed under: uncultured bacterium
Lineage: Bacteria
Description: partial 16S ribosomal RNA
Rfam family: Bacterial small subunit ribosomal RNA
Source: RNAcentral
CAGCAGCCGCGGUAAUACGUAGGUGGCAAGCGUUGUCCGGAAUUAUUGGGCGUAAAGGGCUCGCAGGCGGUUUCUUAAGUCUGACGUGAAAGCCCCCGGCUCAACCGGGGAGGGUCAUUGGAAACUGGGAAACUUGAGUGCAGAAGAGGAGAGUGGAAUUCCACGUGUAGCGGUGAAAUGCGUAGAGAUGUGGAGGAACACCAGUGGCGAAGGCGGCUUACUGGCUCGAAACUGACGCUGAGGCGCGAAAGCGUGGGGAGCAAACAGGAUUAGAUACCCGCGUAGUCCCUGUCUCUUAUAC